Molecule: long non-coding RNA, 2258 nt
Organism: Arabidopsis lyrata subsp. lyrata
Lineage: Eukaryota; Viridiplantae; Streptophyta; Magnoliopsida; Brassicales; Brassicaceae
Exons: 3
Source: RefSeq, a predicted model, not a curated record
ACGGGAAGAUAUCAUAGCGUUUAUAAAUUUAAAACGCUAUAAAAAAGUUAGAGGUAAGUCAACGAUUGCAUAAAUAUAUAAAACGCUAUUUUUCAAUGCUAUUAAAGAUCAAUAUUCUUGUAGUGAAUUUAUGACGUUUUACAAAAUAAAAUAAGUAACAUGUUUUUUAGCGAUGUUGUAUAAAUAAACAAUUUUCAUUUUUCAGCUUUCUUUUGUCGAAAUUAAUCGGUAUUAGUAUUGAGAGAUAUCAACACUUUAGGUUAAAUUGAUCAAUUUGAAACUGUCUGUUUCAGGGGGAUUUCUGAUCAUUUAAAAAGUUUGAAGCAGAAACUGUAAAUAGAGAGAAACCACAGACUAAAGUGCAAAAAAAAAAAAGGUGCAACUCGUUUUCAUAAUUCCGAUUUCUGAGGGCUUGUUUUUGACAAUUCGAAUCUUCAUCUCUUAACCCUAGCCCCUCGUAUAUAUAUGCGUUUUAAAGCCCCAACAAAUUAGAAGCCGAAUCUCUUGUCAAUUUAGGGUUUUUGGUUGAUUGUGUUUCUCCGUAAUAGAGCUUUAAUUCGGGUUCUUUUUAAGCCUUGGUAUAAGAGGAAGAAUUAGGACUCAAGAUAUACCUUGUUAGAAUGCUCUCGUUCAUAUGGAUCCAACGCCACUGACAUCUCCUCAAACGAAAGUCGGAUUGAUCGGAAUUUGAUUGGUAUUUCGAUUUUGUUGAUUCAUAGUCAAAUCGGGAUUUCGUUUCACCGGUUCUUAACAUUUUAAAAUCGAAAUCUGAAUUGCUUGAGUUUUGAAUUUUAACCGAUCGUAAUUCGGACCGGUACAGCUGCUUUUACACCGGUUUUAGAAAAUCUGAUACCUGAUUAAGAUUGCUCUUGAAAUUAUCUUUCCGAUGGUAUAGUGUACAGAUUUUUCUGAUAGACGGUUGAAUUUAGGUGAAUUAAUUGGUAGUUUGGGGCGUGUCUAGAAUUGCUGUUAACCACUCGUUAGAUUUUCAGGUGAGUUCUAACUCCCUUAUUAGUUAUUAUACAUUUGUGUAAUAUUUAGGAAUAUGUUAGAAAGAAGAAAUGAUUUUUUUUUGUACUUUUGAAUUCUGAAAAUUAACUAUCUGCGUUAAUGUUAUUAUUUUGAAUAUGAUUUUGAUGAUGAAAUAUAUUAUUCUAUUAAGAGUGGUAUCAGCAUGCUAUGCUGAUUUAGCUAGCUCUAUUGAGCAAUCUGUGGCGGCCGGCAUCGCCGACAGAUGUAUUCUGUAUUUAGUUAGUUUAGUGAUAUUGAGGUCGGUUAGUGUCGUUGACUGUACUUCCUUAUUACCUCGUUAGGGGCCAGCAUCCCUAUCGAGUAUAUUAUGUAUAUAUUUUGUUAGUAUAUGGUUUGGGUCGACCAAUGCUGGAGUUUUACCAUUCCGAAGUUGCAUUGCUAGAUAUAUGGUCGUUCUGUUCUGAUGUUAUUAUUCUGUUUGAUGAUGUUAUUCUGUUUUGAUUAUCCGAUUAUGUAUUUCUGAUAAUAUAUGUUCGGUUGUGAUAUAUAUCCGAGAGUUGUUCCUCAAGAGGCAAGACCUGUUGCUCUGGGUGGUCGAGGUGUCCCUAUUGUUCCAGGAACUCCUCCACAUGUUCCUAAUGGUCCUCAAUUUCCACCACCUCCUCCACCGAAUGUUGCUCCGAUGGAGGAUAUGCGACAAAUGCUUCAGUCUAUGAGUCUGAUGUCUGCUCAUAAUUCGGCCAUCCAACAGACUUUGUUGCAACAGCUACCUUAGGCAGCUGUUCUACAGCCGGCUCAACAAGGAAACCCUCAACCUGACUAUUGGGUGUUGCAGGAUAGGUUCAAGAAGGAAGUGGGCUUACAGAAGUUUGAAGGUUCUUCUGACCCUAUGGAAGCAGAGAAAUGGCUUGAUCUUGUUAAAGAGGCGUUGGGGUAUUUGGGAAUUCCUGAGGCUUUUAAGUUACGAUUGGUUACUCAUCAGCUUGAUGGAAAUGCUCAACAUUGGUGGAGAAGCAUUGUUACUUCCCGUCCAGGUGUGGAGUUGACUUGGGAUGAUUUUCAAAGGGCAUUUAUGGAUCUGUACUUCCCAGAGUCUGUCAGAUCAAACUUGAGAAGGAGGAGCAUGUAGCUGACGCUUAGAGUUUUUGUUUCAGUUGUAGCGCGAGACUUGGUAGUUCUUUCAGUAUUUUAAAACACUUUUAUUUCUCAAAUUUGGAUUUUAUGUAUUUUGUGACUCUUAGAAGUGUUCUUUAUUAUUUUAUUAAAGUUCAUAAUUUAUUUAAGAA